Molecule: ribosomal RNA, 468 nt
Filed under: uncultured bacterium
Lineage: Bacteria
Description: partial 16S ribosomal RNA
Rfam family: Bacterial small subunit ribosomal RNA
Source: RNAcentral
GACGAACGCUGGCGGCGUGCCUAACACAUGCAAGUCGAACGGAAAGGCCCUGCUUUUGUGGGGUGCUCGAGUGGCGAACGGGUGAGUAACACGUGAGUAACCUGCCCUUGACUUUGGGAUAACUUCAGGAAACUGGGGCUAAUACCGGAUAGGAGCUCCUGCUGCAUGGUGGGGGUUGGAAAGUUUCGGCGGUUGGGGAUGGACUCGCGGCUUAUCAGCUUGUUGGUGGGGUAGUGGCUUACCAAGGCUUUGACGGGUAGCCGGCCUGGGAGGGUGGCCGGCCACAUUGGGACUGAGGGACGGCCCAGACUCCUACGGGAGGCAGCAGUGGGGAGUAUUGCACAGUGGGCGGGAGCCUGAUGCGGCGGCGCCGCGUGCGGGAUGACGGCCUUCUGGUUGUGAACCGCUUUCGCCUGAGACGAAGCGUGAGUGACGGUAAUGGGUAAAGAAGCACCGGCUAACUACGUG